This 323-nucleotide long non-coding RNA is filed under the name Struthio camelus australis. Its description in RNAcentral is "lncRNA (ENSSCUG00000006569.1)". Lineage: Eukaryota; Metazoa; Chordata; Aves; Struthioniformes; Struthionidae. The record is from RNAcentral.
CUGAUGGGCUUCUGCUGAUCUGGGACUCCCAGAGCUAUCAGGCUGGUUGAUCCUCAGUCUCCCGAUGCCUUGCUGACCGUGCUGAGCUCCAAGAGAUUCCUAGGCGUGUAGUUCCCUGGCGAAAUGGCCAGUUCAUGAAGUUUUAAGGAGACUGCUGUCUGUAGGACUCCUGCUUCAUUUGUUGCAAAGGUUGGAAAGCAAGGGAAUCGUGAGAAGGCAUGAUCUGGAUCUACAUCUCUGCUUCACUGUUGCUGUAUUAUGCUGGAUGUUUGAUUUCUCAUUAUGUAACAAAAGGAAGAAAAGCACCUGCAACAACUACCCAG